AUGUUUGGCAAAUAUUUCCAACUGUGGCUUCUUCCAUUCGACUAUCCCCUUGACUUAGUGAUCACCCUUGCAGAAUUUUGUCAAAACUUUGAAGAGGAAACCAGCCGACUGGAGCCGAACCUUGACCCCGUCAAUUCUCCGGUGAACGACGAAGUUGCCAUGGAUGUUUUCCGACUGGAGUCUCGUGUUGCAGCUGUCGUGGACUAUCUCGCAAGGCUGAAGGCCGCCACAUCUCGCAUCGACUCGACGCUCUGGCCUGAGGAGACACUUCAGAAUGACCUUGAGUCGCUGAUGGCCCGCUUGAACGCGAUCCCUGGUCGAGUGCAGGAGUGGAAGAAGUCCUCGGCUCAGUGUGGUGCAGAUGUCGCUCUGUGUCUGGCCCGAGUCCACUGCAAAGAUGCACGAGAGGAGAAGCUGGCGGCCCUUCGGGUGGCCAAUACCAAGAAGCACGACUUCAGGUCCUUUAUGGAGACUUUCCUUGCAGCUGCCACUCGGAUUGCCGACGGAAUUGACCUUGAUGAAUUUGUUGCACCUUCCAGCCCUCCCCAGGAGGGGUAA
Molecule: ribosomal RNA, 558 nt
Filed under: Triticum aestivum (bread wheat)
Lineage: Eukaryota; Viridiplantae; Streptophyta; Magnoliopsida; Poales; Poaceae
Description: partial small subunit ribosomal RNA
Source: RNAcentral